AGUGAACGCUGGCGGUAGGCCUAACACAUGCAAGUCGAACGGCAGCACAGUAAGAGCUUGCUCUUACGGGUAGCGAGUGGCGGACGGGUGAGGAAUACAUCGGAAUCUACUUUUUCGUGGGGGAUAACGUAGGGAAACUUACGCUAAUACCGCAUACGACCUACGGGUGAAAGCAGGGGAUCUUCGGACCUUGCGCGAUUGAAUGAGCCGACGUCGGAUUAGCUAGUUGGCGGGGUAAAGGCCCACCAAGGCGACGAUCCGUAGCUGGUCUGAGAGGAUGAUCAGCCACACUGGAACUGAGACACGGUCCAGACUCCUACGGGAGGCAGCAGUGGGGAAUAUUGGACAAUGGGCGCAAGCCUGAUCCAGCCAUACCGCGUGGGUGAAGAAGGCCUUCGGGUUGUAAAGCCCUUUUGUUGGGAAAGAAAAGCAGCAGGUUAAUACCCCGCUGUUCUGACGGUACCCAAAGAAUAAGCACCGGCUAACUUCGUG
RNAcentral lists this ribosomal RNA (492 nucleotides) under uncultured bacterium. Its description in RNAcentral is "partial 16S ribosomal RNA". It matches the Rfam family "Bacterial small subunit ribosomal RNA", at positions 29 to 507 of the family's 1533-position model. The record is from RNAcentral.